This 490-nucleotide ribosomal RNA is filed under the name uncultured bacterium. RNAcentral describes it as "partial 16S ribosomal RNA". It matches the Rfam family "Bacterial small subunit ribosomal RNA", at positions 30 to 507 of the family's 1533-position model. The record is from RNAcentral.
AUUGAACGCUGGCGGCAGGCCUAACACAUGCAAGUCGAACGGUAACAGGAAGAAGCUUGCUUCUUUGCUGACGAGUGGCGGACGGGUGAGUAAUGUCUGGGAAACUGCCUGAUGGAGGGGGAUAACUACUGGAAACGGUAGCUAAUACCGCAUAACGUCGCAAGACCAAAGAGGGGGACCUUCGGGCCUCUUGCCAUCGGAUGUGCCCAGGUGGGAUUAGCUAGUAGGUGGGGUAACGGCUCACCUAGGCGACGAUCCCUAGCUGGUCUGAGAGGAUGACCAGCCACACUGGAACUGAGACACGGUCCAGACUCCUACGGGAGGCAGCAGUGGGGAAUAUUGCACAAUGGGCGCAAGCCUGAUGCAGCCAUGCCGCGUGUAUGAAGAAGGCCUUCGGGUUGUAAAGUACUUUCAGCGGGGAGGAAGGGAGUAAAGUUAAUACCUAUGCUCAUUGACGUUACCCGCAGAAGAAGCACCGGCUAACUCCGUG